RNAcentral lists this small RNA (573 nucleotides) under Pan troglodytes (chimpanzee). RNAcentral's name for it is "processed transcript". The record is from RNAcentral. Lineage: Eukaryota; Metazoa; Chordata; Mammalia; Primates; Hominidae.
CACAGAGGGAAUCAGCAUGGCCACCCUCUGAGGACUGCAUCCUGGCUCCCUGUCCUCCCAGGAGAACGUCUGUGGCUUUUUCCUGGUUGCUGUGGGAGCCUCACCUGCCAAACUGCAGGCUGAUUGAGAUUCCCGCGCUGGAACAGUCAGGGGUUGGGGCUUUCUAUGAGUGCGUGCCACACAGCCCAGCCUUGGAGGUGGUGGCUCUGCAGGUUUGGGAGGCGCUUUGAGUCCCCGCUGCUGUGGCAGAGCGCCAUCAUGAUCCUGACCAUGCUGCUGAUGCUGAAGCUGUGCACCGAGGUCCGUGUGGCCAACGAGCUCAACGCCAGGCGCCGCUCCUUUGCAGCUGCAGAUAGCAAGGAUGAAGAAGUCAAGGUUGCCCCCAGGCGGUCCUUCCUGGACUUCGACCCCCACCACUUCUGGCAGUGGAGCAGCUUCUCGGACUACGUGCAGUGCGUCCUGGCCUUCACGGGUGUGGCGGGCUACAUCACCUACCUGUCCAUUGACUCCGCCCUGUUUGUGGAGACCCUGGGCUUCCUGGCCGUGCUGACCGAAGCCAUGCUGGGUGUGCCG